AGAGUUUGAUUCUGGCUCAGGACGAACGCUGGCGGCGUGCCUAACACAUGCAAGUCGAACGGAGAUGUUUAUUUCGGUAGACAUCUUAGUGGCGCACGGGUGAGUAACGCGUGAAUAACCUAACCCGAAGAGGGGGAUAACACCUGGAAACAAGUGCUAAUACCGCAUAAGACCACAGACCGGCAUCGGUCAGAGGUCAAAGGAGAAAUCCGCUUUGGGAGGGGUUCGCGUCCCAUUAGGUAGUUGGUGAGGUAACGGCCCACCAAGCCGACGAUGGGUAGCCGAGCUGAGAGGCUGAUCGGCCACACUGGAACUGAGACACGGUCCAG
RNAcentral lists this ribosomal RNA (329 nucleotides) under uncultured bacterium. Its description in RNAcentral is "bacterial SSU rRNA". It matches the Rfam family "Bacterial small subunit ribosomal RNA", at positions 8 to 334 of the family's 1533-position model. The record is from RNAcentral.